GAUGAACGCUGGCGGCGUGCCUAAUACAUGCAAGUCGAGCGAACAGACGAGGAGCUUGCUCCUCUGACGUUAGCGGCGGACGGGUGAGUAACACGUGGAUAACCUACCUAUAAGACUGGGAUAACUUCGGGAAACCGGAGCUAAUACCGGAUAAUAUAUUGAACCGCAUGGUUCAAUAGUGAAAGACGGCUUUGCUGUCACUUAUAGAUGGAUCCGCGCCGCAUUGGCUAGUUGGUAAGGUAACGGCUUACCAAGGCAACGAUGCGUAGCCGACCUGAGAGGGUGAUCGGCCACACUGGAACUGAGACACGGUCCAGACUCCUACGGGAGGCAGCAGUAGGGGAUCUUCCGCAAUGGGCGAAAGCUUGACGGAGCAACGCCGCGUGAGUGAUGAAGGUCUUCGGAUCGUAAAACUCUGUUAUUAGGGAAGAACAAAUGUGUAAGUAACUAUGCACGUCUUGACGGUACCUAAUCAGAAAGCCACGGCUAACUACGUG
Molecule: ribosomal RNA, 497 nt
Filed under: uncultured bacterium
Lineage: Bacteria
Description: partial 16S ribosomal RNA
Rfam family: Bacterial small subunit ribosomal RNA
Source: RNAcentral